CCUGAGAGGGCGCCGGGCCACACUGGGACUUCAGGACACCGGCCCAGACUUCUACCGGAGGCAGCAAGUUGGGAAUAUUGCACAUGGGCGAAAGCCUGAAGCAGCGCCGCCGCGUUAGGGAUGACGCCUCGGGUUGUAAACCUCUUUCAGCAGGGAAGAAGCGAAAGUGACGGUACCUGCAGGAAGAAGCGCCGGGCUAACUACGUGCCGCAGCCGCGGUAAUACGUAGGGGCGCAAGCGUUGUCGGAAUUAUUGGGCGUAAAGAGCUCGUAGGCGGCCUGUCACGUCGGGGUGUGAAAAGCCCGGGGCUUAACCCCGGGUCUGCAUUCGAUACGGGCUAGCUAGAGUGUGGUAGGGGAGAUCGGAAUUCCUGGUGUAGCGGUGAAAUGCGCAGAUAUCAGGAGGAACACGGUGGCGAAGGCGGAUCUCUGGGCCAUUACUGACGCUGAGGAGCGAAAGCGUGGGGAGCGAACAGGAUUAGAUACCCUGGUAGUCCACGCCGUAAACGGUGGGAACUAGGUGUUGGCGACAUUCCACGUCGUCGGUGCCGCAGCUAACGCAUUAAGUUCCCCGCCUGGGGAGUACGGCCGCAAGGCUAAAACUCAAAGGAAUUGACGGGGGCCCGCACAAGCAGCGGAGCAUGUGGCUUAAUUCGACGCAACGCGAAGAACCUUACCAAGGCUUGACAUACGCCGGAAAGCAUCAGAGAUGGUGCCCCCCUUGUGGUCGGUGUACAGGUGGUGCAUGGCUGUCGUCAGC
This 759-nucleotide ribosomal RNA is filed under the name Streptomyces canus. RNAcentral's name for it is "bacterial SSU rRNA". It matches the Rfam family "Bacterial small subunit ribosomal RNA", at positions 291 to 1059 of the family's 1533-position model. Lineage: Bacteria; Bacillati; Actinomycetota; Actinomycetes; Kitasatosporales; Streptomycetaceae. The record is from RNAcentral.